GGAAGGAUCAAUAGCAAAUUUGAGAUAUUGUGUUUGUAUUUAUAUGAAUAUAUGCUAUAUGUUUGUAUCUAUAUGAAUAUAUUCAUCCAUAUCACAUUAGUUCUAGUGUGUGUCUUGCAGAUUGCAUUACAUGCACUAAACAUAUAAACAAAUGUACUUGACAGUGUAGAACAACGACAGAAACUUGCAACAAUGGAUCUCUAGGCUCUUGCAGCGAUGAAGAACGCAGUAAAGUGCGAAAAGCGAUGCGAUUUGCACGAACCUGUGAGUCAUCAAGUCUUUGAACGCAAAUGGCACUCUUGUAAAAGAGUAUGAUUGUUAGAGGAUGUGUACAGAAGAUUAAGUAUGGGAUACUUAGGGAUGAGUUUCUAUAGAGAGGGGGGUGCAUGUAUUGUAUGCGUGUAAACGACGUGCACAUAUGUGCAUAUGCCCUCACUAUAGUCACUUGGAAUUGAUAUUGUAGCUUUGCAAAGCAAACAUGUGCUAAACACUCAUGGAUGGGUUUGCGAGUGGCAUAUAUAUAUGGUUUAUGGUUGAUUGAUUGAUUUUACAAGUCAGAUGUGUAUCUAUAUAUCAGAUCUAUAUCAAUAAUACCAACAAAUAAGCCUUACAUCACCAUCUCUAAUCAUCAAGACUACCCGCUGAACUUAAGCAUAUCAAUAAGCGGAGGAAAAGAAACUAACAAGGAUUCCCCUAGUAACGGCGAGUGAAGCGGGACCAGCUCAAAUUUAGAAUCUGGCCAAUGGCCCGAAUUGUAAGCUAAAGAGCAGCUAUGGCAGGCUUGUGGGGGUGCUCAAGUCUCUUGGAAAAGGGCAUCGCAGAGGGUGACAAUCCCGUGGGAGCACACGCACAAGGCGGCAGAGGCGGCAUCUACGAGUCGAGUUGUUUGGGAGUGCAGCUCAAAAGGGGUGGUAAAUUUCAUCCAAGGCUAAAUAGUGGCAAGAGACCGAUAGCAAACAAGUACCGUGAGGGAAAGAUGAAAAGCACCUUGAAAAGGGAGUGAAAAGUGCGUGAAAUUGUUACAAGGGAAGCGCUUAAAGGCAGACGGUGCGGUGAUAUAUUUGUAUGUUGAAUAUAUUUAUAUCACCGCAUGGUCAGGGCACAUUGAUGACUUUGGAAAAUGGGCAGGAUGAUGUGGCGGCUUGCCUCUGCAUUCAUUCAGCACGAUGCAGAGUGGACGAUGUGUGUCACACUUCAAAUAUGCGGUUGGAGAUUGAAAAGGUUGGAGGACUAAACACACAGUGAUUGGUUCGCUGAUCAAUCAAGAUGCAAGAUGCAGAAAGAUUAUGUCCUGACACAAUGGCUUUAAACGACCCGUCUUGAAACACGGACCAAGGAGUCUAACAUGCAUGCGAGUAUUUGGGUGACAAACCCACGUGCGAAAUGAAAGUGAAACAGAUUUGAGGUUAGCAUAUAGUAAAAUAUAUACCACCCGCAAAAUCAGCCAAUCAUCUAUCGAUCGAUACGCGCUAGAGCAUGCCUGUUGGGACCCGAAAGAUGGUGAACUAUGCCUGGAUAGGAUGAAGCCAGCGGAAACACUGGUGGAGGUCCGAAGCCGUUCUGACGUGCAAAUCGAUGGUCAAAUCUGGGCAUAGGGGCGAAAGACUAAUCGAACCAUCUAGUAGCUGGUUCCCUC
Molecule: unclassified non-coding RNA, 1636 nt
Filed under: uncultured fungus
Lineage: Eukaryota; Fungi
Description: sequence contains 18S rRNA gene, ITS1, 5.8S rRNA gene, ITS2, 28S rRNA gene
Rfam family: Eukaryotic large subunit ribosomal RNA (bases 616-1636)
Source: RNAcentral